CCUCCUGCCUUCUUAGUGACUCAGGCAUUUCAGUGCGCUGGGGAUGUGGGUCUUCUCCUGUCUUGUCCUCCCAUAUUUAAGCGGCUUCUCUGCCGAAGUUGCCUUGUAUUUGCAUAGCCCCAGAGGCUGCUGGGAAGAGCUGCUCACUGUGAGCUCAGGAAGACUGAGACAAAGUCCUGGGGACCAAAGUAGUGGACCACUCAUCUAAUCCCGCGACUUGAAAUUUAAAACAGCAGUAGUUCACCCUCGCCCCAGGAGGAGGAAACAAUCCUGCCAAGAGGUUUCAAAUUCAACCCUUCUUCCUCUUCUACCUGCCCACGGCUGGCUUAUAUAAGAGAAGGACGGUGACCAGGAAGCUGGACUUGCCCACGUGGAAGACUGUCAGGAUGACCAAUUUGACGGUGGCUGAGGCCCUCUGCAUGGCCCUCUUCUGCAGUUUGCUGGGACCAACUCUUGGGCUCAGCAGCCUCCAAAGUUUAAACUCUGGAAGAAAUCGCAGGGGCUUGCUUGGAGGAAAGGGGGGGCUGCUUGGUGGAAUCCUUGGUGGUGGAGACAAAGGUGUACCUGUAGUUGGAGAUGUCCUUGGUGGUGUCCUUGGAGGUGGAGGCAAAGGUGGUGGAGGUGUCCUUGGUGGCGUCCUUGGAGGUGGAGACAAAGGCGUGGUUAGUGGUGUCCUUGGCGGUGUGGGAGGUGUUCUCAACAAUGCAACCGGUUCGGUGCUCCCUGGUGGAGGUGUACCUGGAGUUGGAGGUCUGCUUGGUGGGGGUGGAGGAAAAGGAGGAGGAUUUCUCGGCAGUGUCCUCGAUGACGUCGGAGGUCUUCUCAACGACACAACCAAUUCGCUGCUUGCCAGCGGUCUCCUGAACGGAGUUCUGGAUCAGAACCAACUUCGCGACCUCCUGGGCUCCCUCAAUGGAAACUUACUCGGUCUGGGAAGCGGAGGAACUAAGGAGUCAUUCCAGUGGUACAACAUUUUGAACCUCCAAUUUAUCAGAGGGUCUUGGAAGAUCGUAGGCGGAACGGAGUUGAUCCUCAAUUUGCAAGCCGUGAUCGUCAUGAAAUUGCCAGUGCUGCUCUUUCGGACUGUCACUAUGGAUGUGAACAUCACUGCGCACCUGGCCAUCACCCAGGACAAACCGGGUGACCUCAAGCUGGUCCUUAAAAAUUGCCAAAACCUGGUGGCUGGUUUUACCAUCAAGAUGCCCUCCAGCCUGGUCGCCACGCUGCUCACCAACCUCAUGAACCUGGCCGUUCAGAACAACAUGCCUCGCAUGUUGUGUCCCAUAUUUCAAAUCUGGAUCAACGUCAUCAAUAUGAAACUCAGGAUCCUCAACAAUUACGUUUUCUUCGGGCUCCUCGGCCGAAUCCACACGGCUCUUUCCACCAUACCGAUUUCGACCGGACAGUUUUCUGAGCUGGAUCUGAAGGACAAACCGUUUCCGGGAUUCUUCCUCAACUGGCUUCUCAACGAUAUCAAUUCAAAGGUCAUCCCGAAGAUUGCUUGAGACGGUCCAGCGAGGCACCUGCGGGGUAAACAAAAGACGCAAAAAUUGAGUUGUUGCGGGGUCACUGACCUGGGACGCUGAGCUCCUGAGCAUGGUACAAGUGAUGCCAUUGAGAGGACCCGGGUGGACCUGGCCUGUGUGUGUGGAAGCCUCGCGCUGCAAACAUCUGGAACGCGUUCCCGUCUCAGCGGUGACUUGUUCUCUUUCUAAAACUGACCUGGGAGUGAUCGUCGAAAUGCAUAUAAAUAAGGCAAAAUAAAUAUAGAAAUAAAAUAAAGAAUUAAAUGAAUGGCUUAAA
RNA transcript from Crotalus tigris (Tiger rattlesnake), 1803 nucleotides. It is a transcript of the gene named BPI fold-containing family B member 4-like, with no coding region annotated. The transcript has 13 exons. The record is from RefSeq and is a predicted model, not a curated record. NCBI's taxonomy places the organism in Eukaryota, Metazoa, Chordata, Lepidosauria, Squamata, Viperidae.